UAAUACUGAGGGUGCAAGCGUUAAUCGGAAUUACUGGGCGUAAAGCGCGCGUAGGCGGUCUGGUCAGUCAGACGUGAAAGCCCCGGGCUUAACCUGGGAACUGCGUUUGAAACUGCCAGACUAGAGUGUGGUAGAGGGAAGUGGAAUUCCGCGUGGAGCGGUGAAAUGCGUAGAGAUGCGGAGGAACACCAGUGGCGAAGGCGACUUCCUGGACCAACACUGACGCUCAGGUGCGAAAGCGUGGGGAGCAAACAGGAUUAGAUACCCUGGUAGUCCACGCCGUAAACGACGUCUACUAGCCGUUGGGGAGCUUGUCUCCUUAGUGGCGCAGCUAACGCGAUAAGUAGACCGCCUGGGGAGUACGGUCGCAAGACUA
This 376-nucleotide ribosomal RNA is filed under the name uncultured Gammaproteobacteria bacterium. RNAcentral's name for it is "bacterial SSU rRNA". It matches the Rfam family "Bacterial small subunit ribosomal RNA", at positions 521 to 896 of the family's 1533-position model. The record is from RNAcentral. Lineage: Bacteria; Pseudomonadati; Pseudomonadota; Gammaproteobacteria.